CUUCCCAAGUGAUGGUAACCACUAUCUCCAAAGAAAGACUAACACAAAAGUCUCUAUUCUUUCCUAAACACUGACUGAACCCAACCAGUGAGCUAUGCCAAGCUUCUCAUCAUCCUAAGAUACCACAACUCACCAAACACUAAUUCAACUCACACCAGUGGAUGAAAGACAAAGAACACUACCUUAUAGAACAGCUGACCAAGAGAGGCUCGUCACCAGUCAAAAGUGGAUGGAGCAGGAGCUUAUACAUCUACAGAAGCUGUGGCUAAUAUUCCCCUUCCAAGACUCCUGUAGCCCAGCCCUCAGAUACUGACUAAGCUCAUGGAGCAUGAUGUUGUAGAGGCAUUCAUCCUUAGUGGUUGAGGUAACAGAUGCCAUAAACACUGGAGAGAGGGCUCCUUCUUUUCUCCAAAAGUAUUCCAUGGACUAGCAACCUGCAGAGGGUACCUCCUGGGUAGAUCACCAGUCUGCACUCCAGGAUGAGCCAAUGCCCACAGACUCCAUCACAUCGGACAUACAAGCCUGGUUUGCAUGGCGUGUGUUCCAUCAAGCAACCCUGGCUAAUGUUCCAAUCCAAGAAGUCAAACUCAAUGGCAAAAGGUAAAAGCAAUGUUGGACUCCCUCCAUCAUCCUGGCAUGCUCUGAUGUAAAAAA
Long non-coding RNA from Sinocyclocheilus rhinocerous, 654 nucleotides. RefSeq lists it as uncharacterized. NCBI's taxonomy places the organism in Eukaryota, Metazoa, Chordata, Actinopteri, Cypriniformes, Cyprinidae. The transcript has 2 exons. The record is from RefSeq and is a predicted model, not a curated record.